The sequence is a transfer RNA, 72 nucleotides long. It matches the Rfam family "tRNA". From Rfam's summary of the family: Transfer RNA (tRNA) molecules are approximately 80 nucleotides in length. Their secondary structure includes four short double-helical elements and three loops (D, anti-codon, and T loops). The record is from Rfam.
GGUCUGGUAGCUCAGGGGUAGAGCGAGCGCCUGCAGAGCGCUAGGUCACGCGUUCAAAUCGCGUUCAGACCU